GGUCACCAAAAUCAUUCCAAUUCAUCCUCUGGGAGCUUUAAUUUUCACAGGAACCUGCUCUGUAGCUGCUGAGCUGUCGAGACGAACCAGCUUCACUGUACUUAGGCCCCGCCUCCCCAACACUGCAGGUAAUAUAACAGUGAAGGGGUCAAAGGUCAGUGUUCAGAGUGCUGACCCGGCAGUUCAAUAAGUAAAAUACACGCUGAUGUGUUCAGCUCAGACGUAGUUCACGUCAAUAAUCUCACCUAAAGUCCCCUGGCCCCUCCAGUAGGACCUGUGAAACCCUAUCAGGUGGACAGGUGAGUGGUCAAAGAGACAAUAACAGACUCCCAGGUGUCCAUGGAGACACGAUAAUAGAUCCAGGAGAGGAAACACCAGGACGCAAAUAUCACCUGUAAUGAGUGAGUGAUGAUCUGUGUGAAGACCUGAUCCUGGUGUGACUCGAGCACCUCGUCCCGUCUGUCAACGUACGAGGACACGUGUAAAACCACGCACACACACGCAGCUAAAUAUGGCCAGCUGCUACAGAAACAGCACGGUUGCCAUGACAACCCCGUCUCCAACCCCUGAUCUGUUCUGCUGCAUCAGUCUGGGUUUCGGGUGGGGUGUUUCCACGGCAACAGCCCAUUUGAACAGUGAUGACCUCCAUGUGUCCUCUGCUGCUGCCACCUGCUGGUCGCAGCGCUUCAUAUGCUCUGAAGGAAUGACUCCUUCCGGUCCGCACUACAGUUCCCAUGAUGCUUUGGGGGAUGUAAACAGGAAGUACACUGUUGCCAUGGAUUGAGCGAGGUGGCUGUGAGCUCCAACUUCAGGCCCGUUUUUUUUAUCCUGUAUUUGUGUACAUUUUGUCAAAUCAGCAGUAAAACUACAAUUACCAACUUCCUGUUGUUUUACGUCACCUGCACGCACCUGUCCCUUUCACCUCACACAGGCUCGUGUGAUGGGACUGCGCAGAAUCCAUCACCGGCGAUUGCCCGCAAUGCAUGGCGGUUAGAUUUGUGUCCGACUUGCUCUGACGUCACGCACACGUGGGCAGCGAUAAGCUCGGCACCCCAGGGCAUGAUGGGAAACGCUGAGCAAAGAGCUGAUUGGCUCUUAGCUUUGACCACAAACACCACGUUUAACAGGAUGCCGAUAUUUACCGCCCUUUAACUCUGGCUCCGCCUCCUGGCGAGGAGCGACACGUCUCUCUGACGCUUCAACUGUCUGCACCGACCGAACAAAGAGUGUCCAGGUGAGAGACCUGCAGACGGGGUGGCUGACCUGAAGCUGUGAGGUCAGAGGUCACGGCAGCGUCAGAGGUCGUAGGGGUCACAGAGGCGUGGCCCGUCACUAUCCUGAGAGCCGACUCCAGCAGCUGGCUCUGAUUGGAGGAGAGGAGAGCCAAUGAGCAGUCGGUCGGCAGAGUUAGGCGUCAGCAGCAGCUGAACAGUUUCCCUGCAGCUCAGUGAACAGACCUCAGGUCAGAUCUACCUUGAUGAGAGCAGCAGCAGCUGUAGCUGCGUUGGUGGCGUCUCCCGGGCAACCAGAGGACAGCCCCG
This is a long non-coding RNA of Siniperca chuatsi (mandarin fish), 1541 nucleotides long. RefSeq lists it as uncharacterized. The transcript has 3 exons. The record is from RefSeq and is a predicted model, not a curated record. NCBI's taxonomy places the organism in Eukaryota, Metazoa, Chordata, Actinopteri, Centrarchiformes, Sinipercidae.